RNAcentral lists this long non-coding RNA (211 nucleotides) under Elaeis guineensis (African oil palm). Its description in RNAcentral is "long non-coding RNA (EGUI_LNC058837)". The record is from RNAcentral. Lineage: Eukaryota; Viridiplantae; Streptophyta; Magnoliopsida; Arecales; Arecaceae.
UGGCACAGUCUAUGGUGGGUGAAGAAAAGUUUUCGUGAAUGGAUGGUAGAGAUUGAUGUGAAACGGGAUCCAACAACUGCUGUUCAUUAUCGGUUGAAAAGAGAAAAUUUUUUAUGCGAUCUGAUGGUCAAAAUUCAAUCCAUCGCUCAAUCCGACGGCUGGUAUUCAUCCUGACUGAGAAUAGGAAGAGUUUUGCACAAUCCAAUGGCUA